UGGGGAAUAUUGCACAAUGGGGGAAACCCUGAUGCAGCGACGCCGCGUGAGCGAAGAAGUAUUUCGGUAUGUAAAGCUCUAUCAGCAGGGAAGAAAAUGACGGUACCUGACUAAGAAGCCCCGGCUAACUACGUGCCAGCAGCCGCGGUAAUACGUAGGGGGCAAGCGUUAUCCGGAUUUACUGGGUGUAAAGGGAGCGUAGACGGCGUAUCAAGUCUGAUGUGAAAGGCAUGGGCUCAACCCGUGGACUGCAUUGGAAACUGGUAUGCUUGAGUGCCGGAGGGGUAAGCGGAAUUCCUAGUGUAGCGGUGAAAUGCGUAGAUAUUAGGAGAACACCAGUGGCGAAGGCGGCUUUACUUGGACGGUAACUGACGUUGAGGCUCGAAAGCGUGGGGAGCAAACA
This 403-nucleotide ribosomal RNA is filed under the name uncultured Lachnospiraceae bacterium. Its description in RNAcentral is "bacterial SSU rRNA". It matches the Rfam family "Bacterial small subunit ribosomal RNA", at positions 355 to 774 of the family's 1533-position model. Lineage: Bacteria; Bacillati; Bacillota; Clostridia; Lachnospirales; Lachnospiraceae. The record is from RNAcentral.